AUGGGACAGCUGGCGAGGCCAAGACUCCAGAUGGCUGGGAUGGCAGAUGCCCAAAAGGAGUUACCUGGAGAUGGUAGUGAGGACGGAUCACUCCUGAGAUAGGGGCAUAAGAGGAAGAAGAGCCCCAGUCCACACACCAAGGCGAGGAUGGUUUCAUCCACCCAGGAAGCGGGUCUGGGGUGCCACCAAGGAGCACCCAUACUGUUCACAAAAGAGUGAAGAUUCUUCAUCUCUUCACAAGGCUUUCACAGGAGAUAGCACUGUUACCCUCAGGAUGUCCUUUAGAUUCCUCCACAUGGUUGCAAAUCUUAACUCUGUUUUUCCCAUGUGGUAAGUUUUUGACGUUCCUCAACCCAGAAAUGGAAUCUUAUUUUAUCCUGACUUAACGUUGAAUAUUUAAUUUGUGAUUGUUUCCAUCCACCUUUGCCAUCUUCACUCAGAACAACUGACACAAAAAUUCAAACAAAUGAUUUAUUACUUAAAAUUUACAAAACUCCAUAUAAUAGAAAGAUAAGUAAUUAAACAUCUAAACGAUAUGGUUUGUGUUAGUAGCAUUUAUACUUCUGAAGUUAGGAAAGCUUCACCAAGGCUU
Molecule: long non-coding RNA, 592 nt
Filed under: Sus scrofa (pig)
Lineage: Eukaryota; Metazoa; Chordata; Mammalia; Artiodactyla; Suidae
Description: lncRNA (ENSSSCG00035013497.1)
Source: RNAcentral